GCGCAGCAGUCGCGAAACCUCCGCAAUGCUCGAAAGAGCGACGGGGGACGUCCAAGUGCCUACGCUUUGCGUAGGCUUUUCCCUAAGCCUAAAAAGACUUGGGGAAUAAGGGCUGGGUAAGACGGGUGCCAGCCGCCGCGGUAAUACCCGCAGCCCGAGUGGUGGCCGCUUUUAUUGGGCCUAAAGCGUCCGUAGCCGGUCUGGUAAAUGCCUGGGGUAAAUCGUCUGGCUCAACCAGACGAAUUCCGGGGUAGAUUGCCAGACUAGGGGACCGGAGGAAGGAGAGGGGUACUCCGGGGGUAGGGGUGGAAAUCCUGUAAUCCUCGGAGGACCACCGGUGGCGAAGGCGCUCUCCUAGGACGGGUCCGACGGUGAGGGACGAAAGCCAGGGGAGCAAACCGGAUUAGAUACCCCUGUAGU
RNAcentral lists this ribosomal RNA (420 nucleotides) under uncultured microorganism. Its description in RNAcentral is "bacterial SSU rRNA". It matches the Rfam family "Archaeal small subunit ribosomal RNA", at positions 330 to 745 of the family's 1478-position model. The record is from RNAcentral.